This 346-nucleotide ribosomal RNA is filed under the name uncultured bacterium. RNAcentral's name for it is "partial 16S ribosomal RNA". It matches the Rfam family "Bacterial small subunit ribosomal RNA", at positions 338 to 698 of the family's 1533-position model. The record is from RNAcentral.
CCUACGGGGUGCUGCAGUGGGGAAUAUUGGGCAAUGGAGGCAACUCUGACCCAGCAACGCCGCGUGAGUGAUGAAGGUCUUCGGAGUGUAAAACUCUUUAAGUGGGGACGAAGAAAGUGACUGUACCCACAGAAUAAGAGUCGGCUAACUACGGGCCAGCAGACGCGGUAAUACGUAGGAGGCAAGCGUUAGCCGGAACGAAGGGGCGUAAAGGGUGCGUAGGUGGUUCGGCAAGUUAGUAGCGUAAUUCCGGGGCUCAACCUCGGAACGACUCCUAAAACUGUUGGGCUUGAGUGCAGGUGAGGCCUCUGGAAUUCCUCGUGUAGCGGUGAAAUGCUUAGAUAUU